AAGGUGGUUCGUCUAUAGCCUG
RNAcentral lists this non-coding RNA (22 nucleotides) under Arabidopsis thaliana (thale cress). Lineage: Eukaryota; Viridiplantae; Streptophyta; Magnoliopsida; Brassicales; Brassicaceae. The record is from RNAcentral.